Molecule: ribosomal RNA, 446 nt
Filed under: uncultured bacterium
Lineage: Bacteria
Description: partial 16S ribosomal RNA
Rfam family: Bacterial small subunit ribosomal RNA
Source: RNAcentral
CCCAGACUCCUACGGGAGGCAGCAGUGGGGGACAUUGCACAAUGGGGGGAACCCUGAUGCAGCGACGCCGCGUGGGUGAAGGAGCGUUUCGGCGCGUAAAGCCCUAUCGGCAGGGAAGAAGGAGGACGGUACCUGACUAAGAAGCCCCGGCUAACUACGUGCCAGCAGCCGCGGUAAUACGUAGGGGGCAAGCGUUAUCCGGAUUUACUGGGUGUAAAGGGGGCGCAGACGGCAGCGCAAGCCAGGAGUGAAAGCCCGGGGCCCAACCCCGGGACUGCUCUUGGAACUGCGCGGCUGGAGUGCAGGAGGGGCAGGCGGAAUUCCUGGUGUAGCGGUGAAAUGCGUAGAUAUCAGGAGGAACACCGGUGGCGAAGGCGGCCUGCUGGACUGCGACUGACGUUGAGGCCCGAAAGCGUGGGGAGCAAACAGGAUUAGAUACCCCUGUA